UACGGAAGGCAGCAGUGGGGAAUAUUGCACAAUGGGCGCAAGCCUGAUGCAGCCAUGCCGCGUGUAUGAAGAAGGCCUUCGGGUUGUAAAGUACUUUCAGCGGGGAGGAAGGCGAUGCGGUUAAUAACCGCGUCGAUUGACGUUACCCGCAGAAGAAGCACCGGCUAACUCCGUGCCAGCAGCCGCGGUAAUACGGAGGGUGCAAGCGUUAAUCGGAAUUACUGGGCGUAAAGCGCACGCAGGCGGUCUGUUAAGUCAGAUGUGAAAUCCCCGGGCUUAACCUGGGAACUGCAUUUUGAAACUGGCAGGCUUGAGUCUUGUAGAGGGGGUAGAAUUCCAGGUGUAGCGGUGAAAUGCGUAGAGAUCUGGAGGAAUACCGGUGGCGAAGGCGGCCCCUGGGACAAAGACUGACGCUCAGGGUGCGAAAGCGUGGGGAGCAAACGAGGGAUUAGGAUACC
Molecule: ribosomal RNA, 458 nt
Filed under: uncultured bacterium
Lineage: Bacteria
Description: bacterial SSU rRNA
Rfam family: Bacterial small subunit ribosomal RNA
Source: RNAcentral